GGGCUUGUAGCUCAGUUGGUUAGAGCGCGCGCUUGAUAAGCGUGAGGUCGAAGGUUCAAGUCCUUCCAGGCCCACCA
RNAcentral lists this transfer RNA (77 nucleotides) under Candidatus Tokpelaia hoelldobleri. RNAcentral describes it as "Candidatus Tokpelaia hoelldoblerii tRNA-Ile". It matches the Rfam family "tRNA". Rfam says of the family: Transfer RNA (tRNA) molecules are approximately 80 nucleotides in length. The record is from RNAcentral. RNAcentral also lists the same sequence under 3 other names. Lineage: Bacteria; Pseudomonadati; Pseudomonadota; Alphaproteobacteria; Hyphomicrobiales.